RNAcentral lists this ribosomal RNA (1494 nucleotides) under uncultured bacterium. RNAcentral's name for it is "bacterial SSU rRNA". It matches the Rfam family "Bacterial small subunit ribosomal RNA". The record is from RNAcentral.
CAGAGUUUGAUCCUGGCUCAGGAUGAACGCUAGCGGCAGGCUUAAUACAUGCAAGUCGAACGGUAACCUGGUUGCUUGCAACCAGAACGAGUGGCGCACGGGUGCGUAACACGUAUGCAACCUACCCUUCACCGGGGGACAACCCCGAGAAAUCAGGGCUAAUACCCCAUGGCAUCAAACAUCGGCAUCGUUGUUUGAUUAAAGAUUCGUCGGUGAGGGAUGGGCAUGCGCCCCAUUAGCUAGUCGGUGAGGUAACGGCUCACCGAGGCCACGAUGGGUAGGGGACCUGAGAGGGUUAUCCCCCACACUGGUACUGAGACACGGACCAGACUCCUACGGGAGGCAGCAGUAAGGAAUAUUGGGCAAUGGAGGCAACUCUGACCCAGCCAUGCCGCGUGCAGGAAGACGGCCCUACGGGUUGUAAACUGCUUUUGCACGGGAAUAAUCGCCGCGACGCGUCGCGGUUUGCAGGUACCGUGCGAACAAGCAUCGGCUAACUCCGUGCCAGCAGCCGCGGUAAUACGGAGGAUGCGAGCGUUAUCCGGAUUUAUUGGGUUUAAAGGGUGCGUAGGCUGGUACUUAAGUCAGUGGUGAAAUCCACCGGCUCAACUGGUGAACUGCCGUUGAUACUGGGUACCUGGAGUGUAGUUGACGCGGGCGGAAUGUGUCAUGUAGCGGUGAAAUGCAUAGAGAUGACACAGAACACCGAUAGCGAAGGCAGCUCGCGAAGCUAUAACUGACGCUGAUGCACGAAAGCGUGGGGAUCAAACAGGAUUAGAUACCCUGGGUAGUCCACGCUGUAAACGAUGAUCACUAGCUGUGGGCGAUACACUGUCCGUGGCCAAGCGAAAGCGAUAAGUGAUCCACCUGGGGAGUACGUCGGCAACGAUGAAAACUCAAAGGAAUUGACGGGGGCCCGCACAAGCGGAGGAGCAUGUGGUUUAAUUCGAUGAUACGCGAGGAACCUUACCUGGGCUUGAACGUACGGUGCAUUGGGGUGAAAGCCCCAUUUCUAGCAAUAGACUUCGUACGAGGUGCUGCAUGGCUGUCGUCAGCUCGUGCCGUGAGGUGUUAGGUUAAGUCCUGCAACGAGCGCAACCCCUGUCCCUAGUUGCCAUCACUUCAAGGUGGGGACUCUAGGGAAACUGCCUGCGCAAGCAGAGAGGAAGGUGGGGAUGACGUCAAGUCAGCACGGCCCUUACGUCCAGGGCUACACACGUGCUACAAUGGCCGGUACAGAGGGCAGCCACCCCGCGAGGGGGCGCGAAUCUCCAAAGCCGGUCCCAGUUCGGAUCGGAGUCUGCAACUCGACUCCGUGAAGCUGGAUUCGCUAGUAAUCGCAGAUCAGCCAUGCUGCGGUGAAUACGUUCCCGGGCCUUGUACACACCGCCCGUCAAGCCAUGGGAGUCGGGGGUACCUGAAGUCGAUAACCCAAAAGGAGUCGCCUAGGGUAAAACCGAUGACUGGGGCUAAGUCGUAAGCAAGGUAACCGUA